CACUCCUACGGGAGGCAGCAGUGGGGAAUAUUGGACAAUGGGCGCAAGCCUGAUCCAGCCAUGCCGCGUGAGUGAUGAAGGCCCUAGGGUUGUAAAGCUCUUUCACCGGUGAAGAUAAUGACGGUAACCGGAGAAGAAGCCCCGGCUAACUUCGUGCCAGCAGCCGCGGUAAUACGAAGGGGGCUAGCGUUGUUCGGAUUUACUGGGCGUAAAGCGCACGUAGGCGGACUAUCAAGUCAGGGGUGAAAUCCCGGGGCUCAACCCCGGAACUGCCUUUGAUACUGGUAGUCUUGAGUUCGAGAGAGGUGAGUGGAAUUCCGAGUGUAGAGGUGAAAUUCGUAGAUAUUCGGAGGAACACCAGUGGCGAAGGCGGCUCACUGGCUCGAUACUGACGCUGAGGUGCGAAAGCGUGGGGAGCAAACAGGAUUAGAUACCCCAGUAGUCCCAU
Molecule: ribosomal RNA, 448 nt
Filed under: uncultured organism
Description: partial 16S ribosomal RNA
Rfam family: Bacterial small subunit ribosomal RNA
Source: RNAcentral